This is a non-coding RNA of Erythranthe guttata (spotted monkey flower), 106 nucleotides long. NCBI's taxonomy places the organism in Eukaryota, Viridiplantae, Streptophyta, Magnoliopsida, Lamiales, Phrymaceae. The record is from Rfam.
AUAAAAAACCGGGCUUGGUGUCUGAAAAAACUCGUAUAUUUAUUUGUUGAUAUCAACUUCGUCUUGAAUAUCCAUCGGUCCGGAGUCAAACUACAGCAAUACAUUU